CUAUACUAAGCCAAGGAAUUCCCAGGAGAAUGAGGAGGUUGGUACCAUUCACACCACUGAGGUCCCUAAGGUCGGGAAGAAGGCCGCUGUGAUGGAGAGUAAGCCCCAAUCGCCUGCAGACAGGAAGGGGAGGUAGCAGCCCUCUGGUUUGGAGCGAAAGGGCAGUAACCAUUGAUGUGGGGAUUCUUACUCUUCCUCUGAGGCAAACAGCCAAGGGAGAUUGUGGUAAACAUCCCAGAGAGGCCAAAAGGAAAGCAAAAAGCAGAGGGAAUUUUCCGGUAUUCCUUCUAUGGGACUCUGCAGUGUCAUUGUGCCUACCACAACAUGGGGAGCUCACGGCAAAAAAGAAAUGGUGCUAUGAUAGGUUAAGGCAGGGAGAGCUAGGGAGCAUGUUGAUUUGUGGUUGGAAAACAAUUGAGAGUUGAGAGCUAGGGGCACCUGCUGAAAAGCUGCAGCAGCAAGGCGUGAGGUGACUCCAGAGCAGAGGUUCUGGGGUGAUGGCCUAAGCCGGGGCUAGCUGGAGUAUACGGCUGAUGUUUAGAGGUGGCAGAAAUGAGGCUAGGUCAGCGAGAGGGGCCCACCAGGUGCAAACUGCACGGGGGCUGACCAUAGCCUCUUCUCAGCAGACCUGAGCAGAAAGUGUGGGUGGAUGUGAUGGAAGCACAUUCCUGAGGAGGCCUGCAGGGUCCGGGGAACACGCCUAUACCUGUGGGCCCAUGGCUGCUUCCCGCAGCACACUCCAGACGGGCUAGGGAGAGGGCAGGGGAGAAACUCCAAAAGUGGAGCAUUUGCCUCAAAGAAACUGAGUUACACGAAGAAAGACAGCUUGAAACUAAUCAGAUUGAGCUUCCUUUAUCUGGUCCUCUUCCCUCCAGGCCUGCCCUCCAUGACUCUCAACCUUGAAUAAGAAUGGGGGAGUCAGAAGAAAUCCAAAGCAGUUCUAGGAAAUUGAGUGCCACAUUCUUUUCUGCACGCCUGAGAAUUCGAGGACACUUAUGGGGACCUUCCCUGUACACGAAGUUGCUGUAGACAUGAUAAACAGAUGGCCUAGCAUUUGGCCCAGAUCCCAGCUGCAUCCCUGGUCUUGUUUCUGAUGUUUUGCCCUGUGUGGUUGAGUAUGUCUUAUGCACCUUUGCAUGCCCCAUUCCGGACACUACGACUCCCAUGAAUUGUCCAAAGAAAAUAAUUCAAAGGACUCAAAUAGAUGUUAAAGGCUUCAUUCAGCUGAUGAGGUCAGGGAGCACCUGAAGGCCAGCCAGGUAUAAAAUGAUGUGAUCAGACUACCAGAGCUCAAGAAGUCCCCAGUGAUCAAGGCUGAGCAGGAGGAAUGAGCAGAAGCUCACAGAAUUGGCGUGUAUCUCUAGCUUGAUGAAGCAGGCAUUUAAUACAGGGCAUUUCAUGAGAUCUGAGAAAGGAGAGCAGAGUCCCGGUCCCCUAAGAGCAAGCUCUCCCCCUCCUCCACUACUGUGCCCUCCGGCUUCAGAGAGGAGUCAGACUGAACUCUGCAUGUUGUACUAAGGAUCAAAUGAGGAAACCUGUGUGAAAGCACCUCACCCGCUAGAGGCCCUGGAAGCAAUGGCCUUCUCCUGCUUCUCCUGCAAACCCAACUCUCACAGAAGACACAGCCUGCUGAGGGCCCUGGCUCCACUCUCUAUGACCCAAGGGCAACGCGGUAUCACUUCCCUGCCACCAGUCUGGAGCCUGUGAAAGCUGAGUCCAGGAAGAGGAAAUUGGGACACAGACACGCACAGACGGAAAACCAUGUGAAGACACAAGGAGAAGACGGCUGUUUGCAAGCGAAGGAGAGAGGCCUCAGGAGAAACCAGCCCUGCCAACUCCUUGAUCUCAGACUCCAGAACGGAUCAACUUGUCAAUAUCCAUAAAAAAUCCAAUUGGGGGGCUGGCCCCGUGGCCGAGUGGUUAAGUUCACGCGCUCCGCUGCAGGCGGCCCAGUGUUUCGUUAGUUCGAAUCCUGGGCGCAGACAUGGCACUGCUCAUCAGACCACGCUGAGGCAGCGUCCCACAUGCCACAACUAGAAGAACCCACAACGAAGAAUACACAACUAUGUACCUGGGGGCUUUGGGGAGAAAAAGGAAAAAAAUAAAAUCUUUAAAAAAAAAAAAAUCCAAUUGGGAUUUUGAUAAAGAUUGUGUUGAAUAUACAGAUCAACUUGGAGAAUAUUGUCAUCUUAACAAUAUCAACCCUUCCAAUCUAUGACCAUGGCAUGCCCUUUUAUCUAUUUAGAUAAUUUCUUUCAACAAUGUUGUACAGUUUUAGAUAUACAAGUUUUGUGCUUCUUUUCAUUAAAUUUAUCCCUAAAAAUGUUAUUCUUUUUCACAGUAUUGUAAAUAAAAGUAUUUUCUUAAUUU
Equus asinus (donkey) is the source of this 2370-nucleotide long non-coding RNA. NCBI's taxonomy places the organism in Eukaryota, Metazoa, Chordata, Mammalia, Perissodactyla, Equidae. The record is from Ensembl.